Molecule: ribosomal RNA, 491 nt
Filed under: uncultured bacterium
Lineage: Bacteria
Description: bacterial SSU rRNA
Rfam family: Bacterial small subunit ribosomal RNA
Source: RNAcentral
CGUUAGCGGCGCGCUUAACACAUGCAAGUCGAGCGAGAAAGGGGCAACCCCGGUAAAGCGGCGCACGGGUGAGUAACACGUAGGUAAUCUACCCUCGGGUGGAGGAUAACUUUCCGAAAGGAAGGCUAAUACUGCAUGAGACCACGACCUCGAAAGGGGAUGGGGUCAAAGCCGGCCUCUGUACACAAGCUGGCGCCUGAGGAUGAGCCUGCGGCCCAUCAGCUAGUUGGUAGGGUAAUGGCCUACCAAGGCGAAGACGGGUAGCUGGUCUGAGAGGAUGAUCAGCCACACUGGAACUGAGACACGGUCCAGACUCCUACGGGAGGCAGCAGUGGGGAAUCUUGCGCAAUGGGCGAAAGCCUGACGCAGCGACGCCGCGUGAGUGAUGAAGGCCUUCGGGUUGUAAAGCUCUGUGGAGAGGGACGAAUAAGUGUUGGCUAACAUCCAGCAUGAUGACGGUACCUCUUUAGCAAGCACCGGCUAACUCUGUG